UCUCCGUUGGUGAACCAGCGGAGGGAUCAUUACUGGAAUCGCAAGAUCCCACAACCCCUGUGAACCUACCGAAACGUUGCCUCGGCGGGGUCACGCCCCGGGUGCGUCGCAGCCCCGGAACCAGGCGCCCGCCGGAGGGACCAACCAAACUCUUUCUGUAGUCCCCUCGCGGACGUUAUUUCUUACAGCUCUGAGCAAAAAUUCAAAAUGAAUCAAAACUUUCAACGACGGAUCUCUUGGUUCUG
Molecule: unclassified non-coding RNA, 245 nt
Filed under: plant metagenome
Description: partial contains small subunit ribosomal RNA, internal transcribed spacer 1, and 5.8S ribosomal RNA
Source: RNAcentral